AAUACCGAAAGGUCAGUAAUAUUUCUGUAAACAGACUUUCAUUUGUGUACUUCGAGGUUGAUUCAGUAUCAAGCCAGUACUAUGUCAUUAUAUAAUAUUAUUCAGGAUAGCUCAAAUCCAAUUUUGGAAGAUUUCAGUAAAUUUUGAGCACAAAGAAUGAAGAUGACGUUCUCGGCAAACCCAAAAUUAUAUUGGAAGUAAAGAAGGUUUGAUUUUACUCAGAAACAAAGAAAAUGCGUUGCUGAUAUCAUUCGAACUUCUAAAUUUUCCUCUACAGCAAUAACUAACACUGUAUAGCAUUUAUGGAUAUAUGUAAAAAUAAUUGUUUAAAGUUUACUGUUAUUUCAAUGUGCCAAUAUCCGGAUUUUUUACCAGUGAGCUAAUAGCAUGACUAUAUCUCAAUUGAUAACCGCGUGAUAAGUUUUGAUACAAAUAGUGUUUAGUGCGCAAGACUGAUAAAUUUACCUGUAAUUCACAAAGAUUGGUAUACAAACUGGAGUAUAAUAAGGUUUUAAGACCAGGACAUUGAAUAAAGGUACCAGAAAUAUGGCAAGUAAAUUUCCUGUAUGCGGCAUCUGCGAUUCCAGGCAUAUUUCUGUACCAUCUACAGCAUGGUGUUUUGAAUGUAACACCGGGCUUUGUGAAGAAUGUAAGGAACAACAUCUUCUCAACGAAGCACACAGAAGUCAUGGUAUUAUACCUCUGACCGAUUAUCAAAAGUUACCUAUCUUUGUUUUAUUGUCAUGGCCAAACCAGGGAAAGAUGCCUGGAAAUUUGGAUUAACCAGUAAAUACCGACUUUAUGUUAAACCUGAAGGCUUCACAUUAGAAGACAUAAAGAAAAGGACAUUAAAAUGUCAUUGGCCAUAUGAUAUAGUGCCACAAUAUGGAAAGUCAAAAGAAGGGCGAGAAAUUGUAAUCACUCUAGGUAGGAGGCAUAUUUUAGGCCCGGGUAAUGUCACAUUUCUGUGUGAUUCAAGAGAUAAUUUAGAAAGACUUUUUCGCUUGGUACCGAUCUUUAUAAAAAGGAUACAGUCAGCGGACAAACCUUGAUACUAGAGGAUAAUGCAUGAAAAGUAUUUAAUACAAACUAAAGCCAAUAAAGACAUUAGUAUGUGUUCAGAUGAAGACACGAAAACAAAUAAUAUAAAGCCAAAACCAAAUGACUUAGAUUUAUCUCGUUAUAUCCAAUAAGCUAAAGAAAGAAAAACACUUUUCUUUAUAUCUUUAGUAACAGUGGAGCAAAUCAAAAUAGUUCUACAGUUAUAAACGAAACAUUUAUUUAAGAAGUAUUUGAAAUGACAUAUAGUAUUUUAUACUUGAGUCUAAUACCUUAUGUGAAUCUUUCAAGAUUUUGUGUUGAUUUUCUUAAGUUUUGAAAUAGUUUGUAUUUCUAUUCAUGAAUAAAGGCAACAGUAGAUACUGUUUUGUUUCUGUAACGCUACUUAAUUCCGUUAAUAACUUCCUAUCUGCUGUUGUAUUAAGAAGUAUUCAUGUUUCAAAAGCAAAUUAACCCUUUCCUGGAAAGUCAAGCAAAGGUAAUAUCCCGUCAGAUGUAAACAUACUAAUUACAGUAAACUAACAUACAAAACAUUGUUCACUUUCUGAAAUAAAGGCUUCAUGCAGACAUCGUAACCUUGAUACAGCACGAAUAUGAGAUCUGGUCAAAUCAUAUUAAUUCGACCAAUAUUUAAUGGUGUCACCAACCUACAACAACAUUUAAAAAAUAGAUAAUAAACCUAUGCCAACAAAGCAGAUACAGUAUGCACUGUUGUAUCAAUUAAAACCUAGUAGCAAUAAACUUCACUUGCAUAUGAAGGAUGCAUUUCUGAAAUUAUACGAUAUGUCAACGCUUGCAGCUGACACGAGGAUUUAGUCAAACGUUAUCGCUGUUUGAGCAAAAUAUUGAUGAGCUACUAUUGGUCAAUGAACUUCCUAUUCUUUUUUUCGCAAAACGUUAAUCGGAGGUUAUCAAGAACUUUUAAAUAAAUAUUCAGUGUCAGAAAUAAUGUAUGGUGUUCUUAGUUUAUAUAUUCUAGAUUCUGGCUUUGUGUGUCAUUUUAUUUACUUUUACAGUUUCCCCUUCAUUUGUCUUUGUACUAUUAUGUCCCUUUUGGUCGUAUAAAUCUUUUCGUGGCUUGGUAUUUACAGAUCCGGCUUUCAAAUGUUUGGCCUUAAUUGUUCAUGAUGCAGGUAGGUCCAUAGGGAAGCUUUAGACGAAUGCAAUUUGUAGUGUUAUUUCCAAUAUUUGUGUACCCUCGUAAUUCUAUUUUGAUUUUGUUGCUUCAUCGGGCGAGUGUGUAUAUGUCUUUAUACUUUACUAUAAUGUACUAGAUUAUAUUUACUUUCAAAUACAAUUUUUGUUUUUGUCUUUGUUAAAUCUAAUUAUAUGUUUGUUUGAAUUAUUUAACUUACAUAUGUGAUAUAUUUUUAUUGUUUGUUUACAUAAUUUAUUUUGAAUGCUUCACAUUUUGUUAUGUCGCGAUCUUUUAUAGCUGGUUUUACAGCAUGAGUUUUGCUUAUUGCUUAAGGCCUUAUGGUGAACUAUUACUGCUUAAAUCCACGUCAUUUUGGAUUUUGUCUCAUUGCCAAUUAUACCACAUCUUCUUAUUUCAUAUAAACAGAAGUAAUAAUGUGUCCUUUUACUUUUAGUUGAGUAAAGUUCUAGUUGACAUUACAUUGUAAUUAAUUUACUGGUUUGUUUGAUACGUCAAGGAUAUUUAAUGUUUUGCUUGGAUACAUCACCCUUCCAUUGAGUAUUAAUUUCCCACUUUCAUGAAAAAUAAGACUGCGAAAAUUAUAAAACAUUUAAUCUCCAACUAUUGAUAAAUAAAGGCAUAAUAACAGGUAGGCAGUGCAAGAAAACCUACAUGAGUCUGCAAGUGUAAUCCGUAAAAUGGUCGGGCCGUAAUGUUUCAAUUUUUGCAUAAGUUUGUUUAACCAAAUGAUUUUUCCGUAUUUUAUUACUAUGUGCACACCAUGUAUAAAACUUUUAUCAGUAGUUAUUGUUGCAUUCUGUAGUUUCACGUGUACGUGUACAUGGUGUUCUUAUGCCAGUAAUGUAAUAUGUGUAACUAUCUGACAUUUUCAUUCCUCUUCUUUUAUCAUCAUAAUAUUGUUUUAGCUCACCUGGCCCGAAGGGCCAUGUGAGCUUUUCUCUUCACUUGUCGUCCGUACUCCGUCGUCGUUAACUUUUACAAAAAUCUUCUUCUCUGAAACUACUGAGACAUAGUUUUCCAAACUUGGCCAAAAUCAUCAUUAGGGUAUCUAGUUUAAAAAAUGUGUCCGAUGACCCCGCCUGCCAACAAACAUGGCCGACAUGGCUAAAAAUAGAACAUAGGGGUAAAAUGCAGUUUUUGGCUUUUAUCUCUGAAACUAAAGCAUUAAGAGCAAAUCUGACAUCAUGUGAAAAUGUUCAUCAUGUUAAGAUCUAACUGCACUGAAAUUUUCAGACAAAUCCGACAACCCGUUGUUGGGCUGCUGCCCCUGAAUUGAUAAUUUUAAGGAAAUUUUGCAGUUUUUGUUAUUAUCUUGAAUAUUAUUAUAGAUCGAGAUAAUCUGUAAACAGCAAAUAUGUUCAGCAAAGAAACAUCUACAAAUAAGUCAGAUGAACAAAAUUGUCAAUUGACCCCUUAAGGAGUUAUUGCCCUUUAAAAUUAUUUUUUAACAAUUUUUCGUAAAUUUUUGUUAUCUUUUACAAAAAUCUUCCCCUCUGAAACUACUGAGACAAAUUUUACCAAACUUUGCCACAAUCAUCAUUAGGGUGUCUUGUUUUAAAAAUGUGUCCAAUGACCCCGCCUUCCAAACAACAUGGCCGACAUGGCUAAAAGUAGAACAUAGGGGUAAAAUCAAAAAAUAAUUCAUGACAGCCGUAGAUUUGUUUUCAUUUAACCAUGGGUUGGGCAUUUAUAUUCGAUUAUUUUAUCCCGAGGUUAGCGAGAGGUGAAAAAGGAACAUAAAUGCCCAACCCAUGGUUAAUUGAAAACAAAUCUACGGCUGCCAUGAAUUAUUUCGAUUCUCAUAGGACAAUUACGGUAAUUUUGUCAACCGUGAAAGCCCUAUAUACAUGAUACUGUUAAGCUGUUCCGUUUUACCCCCGGUAUUUAAAAACAGAAUUUUCAUUUUUUGUGCUUGAAUAUUGUAUUGAGUGUGCACAUUCAUCUGAAAUAGAAAAGGAAUAGAUAUGUAGGCUUCAUCAACACAACAAUGUUUGAAAGAACACUCAUUUAGUACUAAUAAGAAAUAAACGCUUGUGACCUAAUUCAAACAUAAAAUCAAUUGUGUAUUCAGGAACCGGGUCCGUUCACCCUAGUAUCUAUUCGCCCUACUACCUGUUCGCUCAGGUCAAUUCGCCCUGAUUUUUAUUUUAUUCAAUUGUUGUCUAGUUUUAUAAUGUUUAUUGUUUGAACAGAGUAUGUCAAACUUUGUUGAAAAAUUCGCCGAAUAUUUGUAUUGCUGCAACCAAAUAAUUAUUUUCCUUUUAUUUGCAUAGUAGAAUACUGGAUUAAAUGUAUUUAUCUUUAUCGAUAUUUGUUACCAAUUUUAAUAAUUCUAGUCAGUCAAUUUAUGCAGUAUAAUAAUAAAUGAACUUAUUUAUCCUUUUCAUGUUUUACAAUUCGUACAUAUACAAUAUUAGGUCAAUGUCAGAAAAAUAUAGUUUUUUUUGUAUGAGGCUGAGAAACUAGGGAGGUUUUACCAAGCCCUACCCCAGUUUUGUGCCGAAUACAAAAAAAAAGGUUUAUAUUUUUAUGACAUUGACCUAAUAUUUUUGUUAUACUGCAACUUAAAUUAAUGCAUUGAUAGCUAUUUAAAUUGUAACACAAAUUUCAAACUUAUUUUCAUCCCUUAAUGAACCCCUGAUUGUGGAAAAAGUGUUCCAUGAUGAAAAUGACAUUGCACAAAAUAAUGGUGUUACUAUAUUUAGGAAAUAAACACAACUAGUUGCAGUAUAAAUCAUUCUUUUUUCUUAUUCAAAGCUGACUAUGUUGUUGCUUUCAUGUGCAAACCAAACUUGGCCUCAAUCAUUAUUAGGGUAUCUAAUACUAUUUAUUAUGAUUUUAACCUUAUUAAAAAUGAUUUCAAAAAACCACAGUAGAUACAGGUGAGCUACACAGGCUCUUGAGAACCUCUAGUUCAAAUGCCUUUGAUAUGCAUUUCAUAUGAUGCAUGAUUUAUCAUAUUUCUUUAAUAAUUUUAAAAGCAGUUUAUUAUAUUACGAAUACUUAAAUAUAUAUCAGCCACACAUACAGUUAAAUCCUUUGUCACUGUUACGUUGUUAUCAAAUAAUACUUUAGCUUUUGUAAACAUUAUGUUUUCCAAUAUUGUUAGAAGGGUACUUAUUAUUUGCUUGUUCCUAUUUAAGACAUGGCGAUCCCAUUGUGCCAUCGAAUUGUUUGUUUGUUUGUUUGGUUUUUUUUUAAAUUUAGAUGUGGCGUGGCUCCUCUUUUUGGAGACGAGCAGAUGAUAAAAUCUUAAAAGCGAAGUGACGGUGUGUAUUUAUUGUUAUAAUACUGUAGAUAAUUGACCUAAUAUACUUUUAGAAUGUUAAUUUUAUCAAGGUGUUAGAUUCAAAAUAUUUAAAAUGAAUUUAAUUUUGAACCUAAUGUUUGGAAUUUUUAUAUUUAAGAAAUCAAGGUUUAAACAAUGUGUGUUAAACCCCUUUUUUAAACAAAGAUCAACGUUUUGUACAUAGAUAUCAAAGUUUUAUUACUGUGGCAUUUGAUGUAUCUUAUGUAGCUUUUAUCCUAUCUCAUAUUUUUUGUAUUGAGUUGCUUCAGUAUUUUAUCGUAUACAACCUUUCAUGUAUAUUUUUUUAUAUUUUUGUAUUAUGCAAAAGUUAUGACGUUAAUAAAUAUUGAAUAAG
Long non-coding RNA from Mytilus californianus (California mussel), 5862 nucleotides. RefSeq lists it as uncharacterized. NCBI's taxonomy places the organism in Eukaryota, Metazoa, Mollusca, Bivalvia, Mytilida, Mytilidae. The record is from RefSeq and is a predicted model, not a curated record. The transcript has 3 exons.